UCGAGGAUCUUCGGCAAUGGGCGAAAGCCUGACCGAGCGAUGCCGCGUGUGCGAUGAAGGCCUUCGGGUUGUAAAGCACUGUCGUGGGGGAGAAAGUCCCGCAAGGGAUCGAUCGACCUCAGGAGGAAGCUCGGGCUAAGUUCGUGCCAGCAGCCGCGGUAAGACGAACCGAGCGAACGUUAUUCGGAAUCACUGGGCUUAAAGGGCGCGUAGGCGGGCCAUCAAGUCAGGGGUGAAAGCCCCCAGCUCAACUGGGGAAGUGCCUUUGAUACUGGUGGCCUCGAGCGAGGUAGGGGCGUGCGGAACUUCCGGUGGAGCGGUGAAAUGCGUAGAUAUCGGAAGGAACAUCGGUGGCGAAAGCGGCGCGCUGGACCUCUUCUGACGCUGAGGCGCGAAAGCCAGGGGAGCGAACGGGAUUAGAUACCCCUGUAGUCC
This 435-nucleotide ribosomal RNA is filed under the name uncultured bacterium. Its description in RNAcentral is "bacterial SSU rRNA". It matches the Rfam family "Bacterial small subunit ribosomal RNA", at positions 355 to 796 of the family's 1533-position model. The record is from RNAcentral.